Molecule: non-coding RNA, 425 nt
Organism: Cricetulus griseus (Chinese hamster)
Lineage: Eukaryota; Metazoa; Chordata; Mammalia; Rodentia; Cricetidae
Source: RefSeq, a predicted model, not a curated record
UUCUCAUUCCUCCUCCAGUGGCAGGAUGUGAUCCACCAGCAAGGAGGGAUGCCAAUAAGUUCACACUACCUCCCAAUGUGACCAUGCUGAUAAGAGCUUCUAAUGUAAACUCUUGGAGCAUAAAACACAUCCAAAUCUAUAGUAUCCACUAUCAAUACAAGGAAAAAGAUGAAGGAAAGGCCUGACUUUUGUAUCUAGUCACAGACACUGCCAGAAGGCAGCAACACAACAUGAAGCUCAUUCCAACUGAAACACAACAAAGGAGAUACCACAGGUGUGCUGGUAUACAACGAAAAUUCUAACUCUCAAGUGGCUCAGGCAGGAGAAUCAAAAGUUCAACACCAUCCUGACCCUGUGUCAAAAAUGCUGUUUUCCUUCUGGAAAUAAAAUUCUGUAUAUACAAGCAGAGCCAUUUUUAAAAAUCA